Molecule: ribosomal RNA, 337 nt
Filed under: uncultured Pseudomonadota bacterium
Lineage: Bacteria; Pseudomonadati; Pseudomonadota
Description: bacterial SSU rRNA
Rfam family: Bacterial small subunit ribosomal RNA
Source: RNAcentral
AGAGUUUGAUCAUGGCUCAGAUUGAACGCUGGCGGCAUGCCUUACACAUGCAAGUCGAACGGCAGCGCGGGGGCAACCCUGGCGGCGAGUGGCGAACGGGUGAGUAACAUAUCGGAACGUGCCCUGGAGUGGGGGAUAACUAGUCGAAAGAUUAGCUAAUACCGCAUACGCUCUUAGGAGGAAAGUGGGGGACCGCAAGGCCUCAUGCUCGUGGAGCGGCCGAUAUCUGAUUAGCUAGUUGGUGGGGUAGCGGCCCACCAAGGCAACGAUCAGUAGCUGGUCUGAGAGGACGACCAGCCACACUGGGACUGAGACACGGCCCAGACUCCUACGGGAG